Molecule: microRNA precursor, 84 nt
Filed under: Dendroctonus ponderosae (mountain pine beetle)
Lineage: Eukaryota; Metazoa; Arthropoda; Insecta; Coleoptera; Curculionidae
Description: mir-6012 microRNA precursor family
Rfam family: mir-6012 microRNA precursor family
Source: Rfam by way of RNAcentral
UGCCGAUCAGACUGAUCUCGUUCUCCCGGAAAUGUUAACUAAAAAUCAUUUCGGCGAUGAGAUCAGCCUGUCGAUUCUAUGGGC